AAUAAAAAAGCGAUACACGCAAUCAGUUUCGACCUGAUCCUUGGUAAAUUAUGCCUUUUAUUA
This 63-nucleotide transfer RNA is filed under the name Ocellarnaca sp. Its description in RNAcentral is "tRNA-Arg". The record is from RNAcentral. Lineage: Eukaryota; Metazoa; Arthropoda; Insecta; Orthoptera; Gryllacrididae.